UUCCUGGUAGUCCAGUGGUUAGGAUUCAGUGCUUUCACCACUGUGUCCUGGGUUCAAUCCCUGAUCUGGGAA
Transfer RNA from Sus scrofa (pig), 72 nucleotides. It matches the Rfam family "tRNA". From Rfam's summary of the family: Transfer RNA (tRNA) molecules are approximately 80 nucleotides in length. Their secondary structure includes four short double-helical elements and three loops (D, anti-codon, and T loops). The record is from Rfam. NCBI's taxonomy places the organism in Eukaryota, Metazoa, Chordata, Mammalia, Artiodactyla, Suidae.